CCCUUAGAUGUCCUGGGCCGCACGCGCGCUACACUGACGCAUACAGCGAGCACUUUCCAGUUCCGAGAGGCUACUGGUAAUCAUCAAUAUGCGUCGUGAUGGGGAUAGAUCUUUGGAAUUCUGGAUCUUGAACGAGGAAUGCCUAGUAAUCGCAGGUCAUUAGCCUGCGAUGAUUAAGUCCCUGCCCUUUGUACACACCGCCCGUCGCUACUACCGAUUUCGAGUGGUCAGGUGAAUCUUUCGGACUGUGGGCGCCCUUGAGGUGUUCGCGGAAAGUCAGGUAAAUCUUAUCACUUAGAGGAAGUAAAAGUCGUAACA
RNAcentral lists this ribosomal RNA (318 nucleotides) under uncultured eukaryote. Its description in RNAcentral is "partial 18S ribosomal RNA". It matches the Rfam family "Eukaryotic small subunit ribosomal RNA", at positions 1470 to 1796 of the family's 1831-position model. The record is from RNAcentral.